This 468-nucleotide ribosomal RNA is filed under the name uncultured bacterium. Its description in RNAcentral is "partial 16S ribosomal RNA". It matches the Rfam family "Bacterial small subunit ribosomal RNA", at positions 28 to 507 of the family's 1533-position model. The record is from RNAcentral.
GACGAACGCUGGCGGCGUGCUUAACACAUGCAAGUCGAACGGAAAGACCCUGCUUUUGUGGGUUGCUCGAUUGGCGAACGGGUGAGUAACACGUGAGUAACCUGUCCUUGUCAUUGGGAUAACUUCUGGAAACUGGGGCUAAUACCGCAUAGGAGCUCCUGCUGCAUGUUGUGGGUUGGAAAGUUUCGGCGGUUGGGGAUGGACUGGCGGCUUAUCAGCUUGUUGGUGGGGUAGUUGCUUACCAAGGCUGUGACGGGUAGCCGGCCUGAGAGGGUGACCGGCCACAUUGGGACUGAGAUACGGCCCAGACUCCUACGGGACGCAGCAGUGGGGAAUAUUGCACAAUGGGCGGAAGCCUGAUGCAGCAACGCCGCGUGCGGGAUGACGGCCUUCGGGUUGUAAACCGCUUUCGCCUGUGACGAAGCGUGAGUGACGGUAAUGGGUAAAGAAGCACCGGCUAACUACGUG